AUACGGAGGGUGCGAGCGUUAAUCGGAAUUACUGGGCGUAAAGCGUACGUAGGCGGUUUGCUAAGUCAGAUGUGAAAGCCCCGGGCUUAACCUGGGAACUGCAUUUGAUACUGGCAGACUAGAGUAUGAUAGAGGGGGGUAGAAUUCCUGGUGUAGCGGUGAGAUGCGUAGAUAUCAGGAGGAAUACCAGUGGCGAAGGCGGCCCCCUGGAUCAAUACUGACGCUGAGGUACGAAAGCGUGGGGAGCGAACAGGAUUAGAUACCCUAGUAGUCC
Molecule: ribosomal RNA, 274 nt
Filed under: uncultured bacterium
Lineage: Bacteria
Description: partial 16S ribosomal RNA
Rfam family: Bacterial small subunit ribosomal RNA
Source: RNAcentral